RNAcentral lists this transfer RNA (85 nucleotides) under Candidatus Gracilibacteria bacterium CG1_02_38_174. RNAcentral's name for it is "tRNA-Tyr". It matches the Rfam family "tRNA". From Rfam's summary of the family: Transfer RNA (tRNA) molecules are approximately 80 nucleotides in length. Their secondary structure includes four short double-helical elements and three loops (D, anti-codon, and T loops). The record is from RNAcentral. RNAcentral also lists the same sequence under 6 other names. Lineage: Bacteria; Candidatus Altimarinota.
GGGUCGGUUCCAGAGUGGUCAAAUGGGGAGGACUGUAAAUCCUUUGGCUUCGCCUUCGUAGGUUCGAUCCCUACCCGGCCCACCA